RNAcentral lists this ribosomal RNA (372 nucleotides) under Triticum aestivum (bread wheat). RNAcentral describes it as "partial small subunit ribosomal RNA". Lineage: Eukaryota; Viridiplantae; Streptophyta; Magnoliopsida; Poales; Poaceae. The record is from RNAcentral.
AUGCAGAAGAAAUUGAAGGCUGCCUAUACUCUUAGAGAGCAAUUAUAUACCGACGCACAACAGAUCAUUUGUACCGCCUCUCAUAACAAACCGCCCCCAACCUUGAUCAAGGAAACAUUAGAGAGGCUAUCAAUGCUGCCUGUCCAGUUUGAGGAGUUAAAAAGAUCAGCUGCAAGGGUAGGUGCUCUGACUGCGCUAAUCCGGGCUAAAGCAUGCAUACCAGAUCUUGACCCGGCUGAUGUUGGAAGCGGCUAUCCGAGCAUAAAGGAGGACGGGUCAGAUUUUGAAAAUGAUGAUCUCCGAGCUUUGAUGAAGGAAAUGCGCCCAUUAGCGAGCAAAUUGGUUGAAGAGACAGAUCUUUCUCAUUACUAG